UUCGUAGGUGGCUAGCUAAGUCAGACGUGAAAUCCCUCAGCUUAACUGGGGAACUGCGUCUGAUACUGGCAAGCUUGAGUGCAGGAGAGGAACGCGGAAUUCCAGGUGUAGCGGUGAAAUGCGUAGAUAUCUGGAGGAACACCGGUGGCGAAGGCGGCGUUCUGGACUGCAACUGACACUGAGGAACGAAAGCCAGGGGAGCAAACG
This 207-nucleotide ribosomal RNA is filed under the name uncultured bacterium. RNAcentral's name for it is "partial 16S ribosomal RNA". It matches the Rfam family "Bacterial small subunit ribosomal RNA", at positions 568 to 774 of the family's 1533-position model. The record is from RNAcentral.